AUACGUAGGGGGCGAGCGUUGUCCGGAAUGAUUGGGCGUAAAGGGCGCGUAGGCGGCCCGGUAAGUCUGGAGUGAAAGUCCUGUUUUUAAGAUGGGAAUUGCUUUGGAUACUGUCGGGCUUGAGUGCAGGAGAGGUAAGUGGAAUUCCCAGUGUAGCGGUGAAAUGCGUAGAGAUUGGGAGGAACACCAGCGGCGAAGGCGCCUUAAUGGACUGUAACUGACGCUGAGGCGCGGAAGUGUGGGGAACGAACAGGAUUAGAUACCCUGGUAGUCCACGCUGUAAACGAUUAAUGCUAAGUGUAGGGGGUAUCGACCCCUUCUGGGCCGGAGUCAACACAAUAAGCAUGCCGCCCGGGGAGUACGGCCGCAAGGUUGAAACUCAAAUGAAGUGACGGGG
Molecule: ribosomal RNA, 397 nt
Filed under: uncultured bacterium
Lineage: Bacteria
Description: partial 16S ribosomal RNA
Rfam family: Bacterial small subunit ribosomal RNA
Source: RNAcentral